CCAAAAGCAGUGUGCGACCGAAAGCUUGUCUGCAGCCCAACGAGCUGAUCAGGGUAGCACUGUGGCUGUCUAACAGAUGGGCUGACCAUGCAGGAAGUCCCCAGAUGGAGGCACUGUUGACAUGAAGACAGUCAGACCUCAGAAGUAGAAACUGAAGGGACGAACGGGGAUUCGAACCCUGAAGCUCAGCGUUCCAAGCUUUGGACAAUACCUUUACGCCACCAUCAUGUUAGCGGUUGCGCGGCUGCAGAAAUGGCCUGAUGAUGAGACAACCCAAGUAUAAGCGAAACAAAGACGAAGGGGGGUUUGAACCCCCAACCUCUGCGUCCGUAGGCAAAGACAAUACCGUUGCGCCACCUUCUCUUCUGUGAAUCGGCCGGCUCUUCUGUGGGUAGAAGAAGAUGACACAACAGAAAUAUUUCCAAAAAAAAAAAAAAAAAGCUGGAACCCCCCCGGCUGUGGCUGGCUCAAAUCUGCUGGGCGUGAUGCAAUGCAAUGGGCUUCGUGGAAUAGGGUACUCUGUCUUGCGCCACGAAACCCUUCAAGAAUUCCUGGGUGCUCAUCAGUGAACUUAUUCUCAGACCCAUCAGAAAUAAACAGGAAGAGCUCAGCUUUGAAUCACACAGAUCCAGAUUAGGUGCUCUCCUAAAAUGAACUCUAAGAAACUGUGGCAAAAUAUAAACUGACACCCUAACACAUUUUGGCUUCUUUAAAUAAAGCUGUUGAUUCAUUGAAGGAA
Anguilla anguilla (European eel) is the source of this 739-nucleotide long non-coding RNA. RefSeq lists it as uncharacterized. The record is from RefSeq and is a predicted model, not a curated record. Lineage: Eukaryota; Metazoa; Chordata; Actinopteri; Anguilliformes; Anguillidae. The transcript is spliced from 3 exons.